AGUGGCGGAUACAUCUCCACCAUCUAGAUCAAAAAUUCCUAACCAAGAUCAAGGGUCUAUAGUGAUCUUAAGCCUAAAUCCGAUUUUAAGUCAGAAAAUGUCUAUAUGUCAAAAAUUAAUGCCUUUUUGGCAAAAUUAACACCACCAAUGUGUCCAAAAUACAUUUUUAUCCAAAGAUUAAUUAUUCACAAGUCCAAAUCUAAGCUCUAAAUUAUUAAAACUAAUUAA
This 228-nucleotide long non-coding RNA is filed under the name Physcomitrium patens. RNAcentral's name for it is "long non-coding RNA (PPAT_LNC012095)". The record is from RNAcentral. Lineage: Eukaryota; Viridiplantae; Streptophyta; Bryopsida; Funariales; Funariaceae.